This 303-nucleotide ribosomal RNA is filed under the name uncultured bacterium. RNAcentral's name for it is "partial 16S ribosomal RNA". It matches the Rfam family "Bacterial small subunit ribosomal RNA", at positions 507 to 807 of the family's 1533-position model. The record is from RNAcentral.
AGCAGUAGCCACGGUAAUACGUAGGGUGCAAGCGUUAAUCGGAAUUACUGGGCGUAAAGCGUGCGCAGGCGGUUAUAUAAGUCAGAUGUGAAAUCCCCGGGCUCAACCUGGGAACUGCAUUUGAGACUGUAUGGCUAGAGUGUGUCAGAGGGGGGUAGAAUUCCACGUGUAGCAGUGAAAUGCGUAGAGAUGUGGAGGAAUACCGAUGGCGAAGGCAGCCCCCUGGGAUAACACUGACGUUCAUGCUCGAAAGCGUGGGUAGCAAACAGGAUUAGAUACCCGCGUAGUCCCUGUCUCUUAUAC